UAGGGAAUCUUCCACAAUGGACGCAAGUCUGAUGGAGCAACGCCGCGUGAGUGAAGAAGGUCUUCGGAUCGUAAAACUCUGUUGUUAGAGAAGAACACGAGUGAGAGUAACUGUUCAUUCGAUGACGGUAUCUAACCAGCAAGUCACGGCCAACUACGUGCCCG
This 164-nucleotide ribosomal RNA is filed under the name uncultured bacterium. RNAcentral's name for it is "partial 16S rRNA". It matches the Rfam family "Bacterial small subunit ribosomal RNA", at positions 355 to 511 of the family's 1533-position model. The record is from RNAcentral.